UUAAACAUGAGAGUUUGAUCCUGGCUCAGGAUGAACGCUGGCGGCGUGCCUAACACAUGCAAGUCGAACGGAGUUAUUAUCGUGAAGUCUUCGGAUGGAUUGAUAAUAACUUAGUGGCGGACGGGUGAGUAACGCGUGGGUAACCUACCUCAUACUGGGGGAUAACAGCUGGAAACGGCUGCUAAAACCGCAUAAGAUCGUAGUACCGCAUGGUGCAGCGAUUAAAUAUUUUAUAGGUGUGAGAU
This 245-nucleotide ribosomal RNA is filed under the name Clostridiales bacterium. RNAcentral describes it as "partial 16S ribosomal RNA". It matches the Rfam family "Bacterial small subunit ribosomal RNA", at positions 1 to 226 of the family's 1533-position model. Lineage: Bacteria; Bacillati; Bacillota; Clostridia; Eubacteriales. The record is from RNAcentral.